AACGAACGCUGGCGGCAGGCUUAACACAUGCAAGUCGAACGGGCCCUUCGGGGUCAGUGGCAGACGGGUGAGUAACGCGUGGGAACGUGCCCUUCAGUUCGGGAUAACCCAGGGAAACUUGGGCUAAUACCGGAUACGUGCGAGAGCAGAAAGAUUUAUCGCUGAAGGAUCGGCCCGCGUCUGAUUAGCUGGUUGGUGGGGUAAUGGCCCAGCAAGGCGACGAUCCGUAGCUGGUCUGAGAGGAUGAUCAGCCACCUUGGGACUGAGACACGGCCCAAACGCCUACGGGAGGCAGCAGUGGGGAAUAUUGGAUAAUGGGCGCAAGCCUGAUCCAGCCAUGCCGCGUGAGUGAUGACGGCCUUAGGGUUGUAAAGCUCUUUCGCACGCGACGAUAAUGACGGUAGCGUGAGAAGAAGCCCCGGCUAACUUCGUGCCAGCCGCCGCCGUAA
Molecule: ribosomal RNA, 449 nt
Filed under: uncultured bacterium
Lineage: Bacteria
Description: partial 16S ribosomal RNA
Rfam family: Bacterial small subunit ribosomal RNA
Source: RNAcentral